Molecule: transfer RNA, 74 nt
Filed under: Bos taurus (domestic cattle)
Lineage: Eukaryota; Metazoa; Chordata; Mammalia; Artiodactyla; Bovidae
Also listed under: 3 other names
Rfam family: tRNA
About the family: Transfer RNA (tRNA) molecules are approximately 80 nucleotides in length.
Source: Rfam by way of RNAcentral
UCCCUGAUGGUCCAGUGACUAAGACUCCGCAUUCUCAAUGCCCGGGGGCCCAGGUUCAAUCCCUGGUCAAGGGA